Molecule: ribosomal RNA, 231 nt
Filed under: Escherichia coli
Lineage: Bacteria; Pseudomonadati; Pseudomonadota; Gammaproteobacteria; Enterobacterales; Enterobacteriaceae
Description: partial 23S ribosomal RNA
Rfam family: Bacterial large subunit ribosomal RNA
Source: RNAcentral
UGAACAUUGAGCCUUGAUGUGUAGGAUAGGUGGGAGGCUUUGAAGUGUGGACGCCAGUCUGCAUGGAGCCGACCUUGAAAUACCACCCUUUAAUGUUUGAUGUUCUAACGUGGACCCGUAAUCCGGGUUGCGGACAGUGUCUGGUGGGUAGUUUGACUGGGGCGGUCUCCUCCUAAAGAGUAACGGAGGAGCACGAAGGUUGGCUAAUCCUGGUCGGACAUCAGGAGGUUA